Molecule: ribosomal RNA, 312 nt
Filed under: Rhizophagus irregularis
Lineage: Eukaryota; Fungi; Glomeromycota; Glomeromycetes; Glomerales; Glomeraceae
Source: RNAcentral
CAGUCGUACCUUCGGGUAAUCAGCCUUUCGAGUGCGAUUCUGUGGAGUGUGAGGAGCUAAACACCUUCAUGCCUGCAUAUUCGUGCUCUUGGGUGUACUUGCUCGUGUGGCUGGUUAACAUCAAUUUCGGACGCCAUAAAAUGGCUGGAGGAAUGUAGCUUCGAUCUCGUAUUGAAGUGUUAUAGCCUUCGGUAGAUGUGAUGAUCGGGAUUGAGGAUCUCAGGCCGCAAGGCUGUAGGAUGCUGGCAUAAUGGCUUUAAUCGACCGUCUUGAAACACGGACCAAGGACGUCUAACAUAUGUGCGAGUGUUU